AUCUAUCAACCCAACAAAGAUGUAAAUCUUGUUUGGUGCUUGGAUAAUGAAGGUUGCUGGGUUAACAUCAGCUCCUUUUAAAUGCAUUAGCAGAACUUUGUAUCAGCUUUGGUUUGAUAAUAAUAUUAUCCGUGUCGUUGCUGGUAAACAAUGGUUCAGCUUCAAAUUGUCUCAGUGAUGAGACUGUCCAAUCUAUGGGCAUUAUUUUGACU
Molecule: unclassified non-coding RNA, 212 nt
Filed under: Hodophilus foetens
Lineage: Eukaryota; Fungi; Basidiomycota; Agaricomycetes; Agaricales; Clavariaceae
Description: partial internal transcribe spacer 2
Source: RNAcentral